CCCUACGGGGUGCAGCAGCAGGGGCAGCAGUUGCAGAUAACACUGGCUCUAUCCGCGCUGUUGUUGCUGGUGUGAACCAGUCCAGCCGCCUCCGCCUGAUCCAGCACUCUGAUGCCCUCUUCUUUACUGAUCUGACGCGCAAAACCCCUCUCCACAAGAAACUCACCGGUCCCGUCAAACAUCAGGCAGACCUCUUUAGGCUUAUUACACUUUGCAAUGCUUACCCGGCAGGCACAUUUAGCCAGAGCAACAUAAUUGGCACUUUCUAUCAAAUGUUUGACCUCUUCAUAAGGAUGAAUGCGAUCGUGCGGGGUAACUGAUUUUUCUACGGCAACCACGCGCAUGAGGGGGGUCGGGUUUCCGGAAAAGGACGCACCGAGGCUGUUAUGAUGGUAUGCUUCCCAGAGCCUGGCCAAGCGGUCAUGAAUGGGAGAGC
This 436-nucleotide ribosomal RNA is filed under the name uncultured prokaryote. RNAcentral's name for it is "partial 16S ribosomal RNA". The record is from RNAcentral.